RNAcentral lists this long non-coding RNA (522 nucleotides) under Anser brachyrhynchus (Pink-footed goose). Its description in RNAcentral is "lncRNA (ENSABRG00000019355.1)". Lineage: Eukaryota; Metazoa; Chordata; Aves; Anseriformes; Anatidae. The record is from RNAcentral.
GGAUUCUCCGAGUCGGAGCUCUGAGAUCAAGCUGCUAUGGACAGCACUGGUAUUUAUGUGAUCAUGGCAGUGGGGCAGAGAAGCAGCUACAGCUGGUUACAUCCUGAACUACAGCACCUUAACCUGACAGAGACAGAAGAUCAAAGCUGUAGGUCCCACUACAGAGUUGACCAGGAACCUUAAGAUAUCACCUUCCAAGACACAGGCUGCCAAAUAAAUGACUAAAGCUGGGUGUGCUGGAGGAGAAAUGCUGAAAAUUUCAUAGGAGACAGAAAGAGUUGGCAUUGGCCUCCAGAAACAAAAAGACUGAGGAUAUUGUGGCCAAUGACAGGAGAAGGAACAUGUUGUAUGUUGCUUGGGAAGACACAUGGGCAAGGAGGAACGGUUGCCACAAUGUGUGGGGAACAAUGGCAUCCUCUGUCUUACACAGAGAGGCCGGAUCACAGUCAAGAGACUUGGAGUACUGUGGUAGCUCCCAGGAGCCAUGAACCAAGUGCCUCUUAACCUAGGGACUCUAUAAAC